CCUACGGGGCGCUGCAGUGGGGAAUAUUGGACAAUGGGCGAAAGCCUGAUCCAGCCAUGCCGCGUGUGUGAAGAAGGCCUUCGGGUUGUAAAGCACUUUCAGUGGGGAAGAAAGCCUUGGGGCUAAUACCCUCGAGGAAGGACAUCACCCACAGAAGAAGCACCGGCUAACUCCGUGCCAGCAGCCGCGGUAAUACGGAGGGUGCGAGCGUUAAUCGGAAUUACUGGGCGUAAAGCGCGCGUAGGCGGUCUGAUAAGCCGGUUGUGAAAGCCCCGGGCUCAACCUGGGAACGGCAUCCGGAACUGUCAGGCUAGAGUGCAGGAGAGGAAGGUAGAAUUCCCGGUGUAGCGGUGAAAUGCGUAGAGAUCGGGAGGAAUACCAGUGGCGAAGGCGGACUUCUGGACUGACACUGACGCUGAGGUGCGAAAGCGUGGGUAGCAAACAGGAUUAGAUACCCUAGUAGUC
Molecule: ribosomal RNA, 465 nt
Filed under: Vreelandella stevensii
Lineage: Bacteria; Pseudomonadati; Pseudomonadota; Gammaproteobacteria; Oceanospirillales; Halomonadaceae
Description: partial 16S ribosomal RNA
Rfam family: Bacterial small subunit ribosomal RNA
Source: RNAcentral